AGGAAGCUCCUGUUCCGGCGGCAACAUUUCGUCCUCUGUGUGGAACUGAUCGCGCAGCUGUUCAAUUAAAGAGGUGCCCAAAUCGAUUUCCAGCAGAGUAUUUUCUUCAGGGUCCUCCUCCUCCAGCUCUUCUAGCUCUGGUCCUUCGGGAGCUUCCGGUGGUUUAGGCACUAUCGGUUGAUCCAGGAUUCCAUUGCGAAUAUCGCGAAUUUUGCGAGUGUGCUCCGAGUAUUGUUCGUCGCCUAA
This is a long non-coding RNA of Drosophila simulans, 246 nucleotides long. RefSeq lists it as uncharacterized. The record is from RefSeq and is a predicted model, not a curated record. The transcript is spliced from 2 exons. NCBI's taxonomy places the organism in Eukaryota, Metazoa, Arthropoda, Insecta, Diptera, Drosophilidae.